AUGGCUUUGCUUUGUGCGAAAACCAGCAUCCCCUUUAGCUUCACUGACGACUCCAGUCGUAGUGUGGCGGACAUGUUCCCCAAUUCUGCCAGCGCUUUAAAGACUUUCGGUGGAGGCACCCGACUCUCCGUUGGAAGUAACAGUCAGCCCACCCUGACAAUCCUGCCCCCCUCCAGUGAGGAGCUGCAGCAGGGGAAGGCCACACUCAUGUGCCUGGCCAAUAAGGGUUUCCCCUCAGACUGGAAGCUGAGCUGGGAGGUGGAUGGUAGCAGCAGGAGUUCAGAGGUCACUGUGAUCCCUGGGGUCCUGCUGAAGGACGGCACCUACAGCUGGACCAGCACCCUGACCCUCAGCACUGACCAGUGGAGGAAGGCAGGGUCAGUGACCUGCCAGGCCACCCAGAGCUCUCAGAGUCCAGUCAGCAAGACACUGAAGACAGACCAGUGCUCUGAGGAGUGA
Molecule: non-coding RNA, 459 nt
Organism: Chanos chanos (milkfish)
Lineage: Eukaryota; Metazoa; Chordata; Actinopteri; Gonorynchiformes; Chanidae
Source: the annotation of a RefSeq genome assembly